Molecule: transfer RNA, 75 nt
Filed under: Prevotella sp.
Lineage: Bacteria; Pseudomonadati; Bacteroidota; Bacteroidia; Bacteroidales; Prevotellaceae
Also listed under: 17 other names
Description: tRNA-Val
Rfam family: tRNA
About the family: Transfer RNA (tRNA) molecules are approximately 80 nucleotides in length.
Source: RNAcentral
GGGCGCUUAGCUCAGCUGGUUUAGAGCAUCUGCCUUACAAGCAGAGGGUCGGGGGUUCGAAUCCCUCAGCGCCCA